GACGUAGGGGCGAGCGUUGUCCGGAAUUACUGGGCGUAAAGAGCUCGUAGGCGGUCCGUUAAGUCGGAAGUGAAAUCUCAAGGCUCAACCUUGAAAUUGCUUUCGAUACUGGCGGACUUGAGGCAGGUAGGGGAAGGUGGAAUUCCUGGUGUAGCGGUGAAAUGCGCAGAUAUCAGGAGGAACACAGGUGGCGAAGGCGGCCUUCUGGGCCUGUUCUGACGCUGAGGAACGAAAGCGUGGGGAGCAAACAGGAUUAGAUACCCUGGUAGUCCCUGA
This 276-nucleotide ribosomal RNA is filed under the name uncultured prokaryote. Its description in RNAcentral is "partial 16S ribosomal RNA". It matches the Rfam family "Bacterial small subunit ribosomal RNA", at positions 524 to 800 of the family's 1533-position model. The record is from RNAcentral.